UAGCCAUGUGCCAAUUGUCAAACUACUUAUG
RNAcentral lists this non-coding RNA (31 nucleotides) under Rattus norvegicus (Norway rat). The record is from RNAcentral. Lineage: Eukaryota; Metazoa; Chordata; Mammalia; Rodentia; Muridae.